This 459-nucleotide ribosomal RNA is filed under the name Streptococcus sanguinis. Its description in RNAcentral is "bacterial SSU rRNA". It matches the Rfam family "Bacterial small subunit ribosomal RNA", at positions 28 to 470 of the family's 1533-position model. Lineage: Bacteria; Bacillati; Bacillota; Bacilli; Lactobacillales; Streptococcaceae. The record is from RNAcentral.
GACGAACGCUGGCGGCGUGCCUAAUACAUGCAAGUAGAACGCUGAAGAGAGGAGCUUGCUCUUCUUGGAUGAGUUGCGAACGGGUGAGUAACGCGUAGGUAACCUGCCUGGUAGCGGGGGAUAACUAUUGGAAACGAUAGCUAAUACCGCAUGAUAUUAAUUGUCGCAUGAUAAUUAAUUGAAAGAUGCAAUUGCAUCACUACCAGAUGGACCUGCGUUGUAUUAGCUAGUUGGUGAGGUAACGGCUCACCAAGGCGACGAUACAUAGCCGACCUGAGAGGGUGAUCGGCCACACUGGGACUGAGACACGGCCCAACCUCCUACGGGAGGCAGCAGUAGGGAAUCUUCGGCAAUGGGGGGAACCCUGACCGAGCAACGCCGCGUGAGUGAAGAAGGUUUUCUGGAUCGUAAAGCUCUGUUGUAAGAGAAGAACGGGUGUGAGAGUGGAAAGUUCACACU